UACGUAGGGGGCAAGCGUUGUCCGGAAUUACUGGGCGUAAAGCGCGUGUAGGUGGCGAGGCAAGUCGGGUGUGAAAGCCCUGGGCUCAACCCAGGAAGUGCACUCGAUACUGCCUAGCUAGAGUCCCGGAGAGGUUGGUGGAACUCUCGGUGUAGAGGUGAAAUUCGUAGAUAUCGAGAAGAACACCGGUGGCGAAGGCAGCCAACUGGACGGUGACUGACACUGAGACGCGAAAGCGUGGGGAGCAAACAGG
Molecule: ribosomal RNA, 253 nt
Filed under: uncultured bacterium
Lineage: Bacteria
Description: partial 16S ribosomal RNA
Rfam family: Bacterial small subunit ribosomal RNA
Source: RNAcentral